Long non-coding RNA from Cryptomeria japonica (Japanese cedar), 744 nucleotides. RefSeq lists it as uncharacterized. The record is from RefSeq and is a predicted model, not a curated record. Lineage: Eukaryota; Viridiplantae; Streptophyta; Pinopsida; Cupressales; Cupressaceae. The transcript is spliced from 3 exons.
AUUUUGAAUUUGAAAGUUAACGGUGAAGUUUUAUUUGAACGGAACGGACAUUUUCCUUGAGUUUAUUCUCCUUUUCUUCACCCCCAUACCCUGAAACCUGCAAAACUUUCCUCUGCGCCUUCCAUAAAGAAGAUUGUGCAUGAUUUCCUCUGGUGAGCUUGGACAGUUUAUAUGCCACAUUUGGAAUGUUAUUAAGCUGUGUGCCUUUGCCCUGUUCAACGAUGAAGGAUCAAAGGUUUUUACAGGAUUUUUUUCUCUCACGGGCCGAUCCAGCGGAGUAGUGGGCGUUGAAAGCAAAUCCUCAGGUUUCUCUUCUCUGAAUUCUUCAGCCAUAUCGGGAUUCGAACCUGUGACUUAAGGAUCAAAGGUUUUUACAGGAUUUUUUUCUCUCACGGGCCGAUCCAGCGGAGUAGUGGGCGUUGAAAGCAAAUCCUUAGGUUUCUCUUCUCUGAAUUCUUCAGCCAUAUCGGGAUUCGAACCUGUGACUUAAGGUUCAAACCCUGGAAUUAAAUACCUUUUAUAGCUUCGUUCAACAAAUCGGCAUCAAAUCUGGACAUACAUGUUUGAAUUCAAAAUUUUUUUUCACAUUCUGGCUGGUAAAAGAUGAAGAGGCAAAACGGAGGAUCAGAAAAUAGCAACCAAAUGAGAUCAAAUUCCUUUGAGGUAUUUUGCAAAUAAAAAUGGAGGUAGAUGGAAAUGUCUGUUGCGUACUGUGAACAUUUUGAAUUUGAAAGUUAACGGUGA